ACUGUCUGUGUCUACAGUGUGUACUUGUAGUGGAGCUCGCUCAAUGCUGUGACAAUGCAAGACAUUAAAAAUCCAUAAAGUCUUACUCUGCGCUCACACGAGCCAGCGGAAAUGUGACCGAUAAUGACCGGUCGUUUUCUAUGUACGAGUGCGACACCGGGAGCUGAUUCCAGCGAUAACGGCGGACGGACGAGGCUUCACUGAUCGGCUGUGUACAUGUUCAACCAAACCUACGCUACAACGCAGUAAAGCCCAGAGUAGUCUGACUCCACAUUCUCUCCCAAAACACAAACCAGAGCUCCUGAUACAGAUCUGUCUCAAAGGCUCGGAGACAAACAACGCUAAUGUCGGCAGUUGGGUUUACAACGCUGAGAGGGGAAAAUGCCAAACUAAAUGAACCGCUGUAAAUGAUGGAGAACAUUCCAGAUCUUUCCCAGAGACCACACAUCACCCUUGUGUCGUGGGAUCGCUGGGUUUUUAGAGAGCGUUUCUUUAGAAAUGCAGUCCCACUGUGCAUUCGGAAUUCAAACCAGACUUUCGAAGGAAGAAGCGGAAGUAGUAGAACAUAGUUUUUAUGCUUGGUUGAGAUGGAGACGUAUGUGAUUAUGGGUGAUGGAAACAAGUUCCUGGAAGAAAUAGUGUGCGGCAAGUUGACAAAUGUCUACUACAACUACCUUACUUACCGUACAGUAGGCCAAAGGCGGUAAUAUGUCCGAACUCUCAGUAUUCAGAACAGUAGGCGAGGAAUACCCCGAUGACCUACUGCUUCCGCCUCGACUCUGCAUCAUGUCCAGCUUGUAUUCAUACUACACACGUAUACUGAUCAGUACGUACUGUAUCACCGGCCGAGCAGUACGUAGGUACGGUCACAGUACGGCAUUUCAGACGCAGCCAGAGUGUGCACUUUAGCGCGAUACUAGCGAUCUCUCUGUAAAGGCAGCCCGUGGAGACAUUUGAAUGGUUCAUGAAGUAAUAUUGUCGUAUCGCACACCUCUAACCUCGGACUUGCAUGGUCACCGCACCACAUAAAUAAUAAACUAAUCAGGAGAACGCUACGAUCGUUUGACAUGG
This is a long non-coding RNA of Ictalurus punctatus (channel catfish), 1071 nucleotides long. The record is from Ensembl. Lineage: Eukaryota; Metazoa; Chordata; Actinopteri; Siluriformes; Ictaluridae.